UUCUUCUUGGUGUUUGAUGAGGAGAGCAAUUUUGCCGGAAAACUGAAAACUUUCUCAAAAGAAUUCUUGAAAAACAAUGGGAAAAAAACAGUUAGGGUGUCGGAAUACGAAACAGAGACGAGGUUAUAUAUAAGUUUUUGACCAGGUUUUCUAUGAACAAAACCGGAACGUUGGUAUUGCUAGAUGGCCGGUUAAUGCGGCGGCUGGAUAUGGCUGAAGUCAUUAUCGGGAUUUGGGAACUGAAAACGAAGGUGAUGGGAGUGAUGGUGUAACGAGAAAUUUCUUCCACGUGGCGUAAUUCACAUACUCGAGGAAUGACCGCGUGAGGAUGAAACAAAAGAAUAUCUCAUUCUCAGCUUAUUGAGGAAAUAUUUGGGCCUUAAAGUAUUCAGCAUUUUUAUUUUAUUUUAUUUUUCACCCUAGCUACGGCAGUUAAUUGCUUUAGGCCCAAUAAGACUUCCAAAGCCUCUCGUGAUAACUUUGUCACAUUUUUUGUUAGAUGGAAUUUUGGAUUUUUGUUACUAUUAGUAUCGGACUAUCGGUGGACGACAUUGUAUUUCUUUUUGAAUUGCAAUGACUGUGGAUAAUUGGAUAUCAUAUCAGGAUGAGUUUAAUAUGUUAUGCAGAUACUGAGAUACAUAAAUUGCCAAGUGACCGGUUUAUUUUGGACCGGUUUAAAGAUGUGACUUUACA
Molecule: long non-coding RNA, 693 nt
Organism: Raphanus sativus (radish)
Lineage: Eukaryota; Viridiplantae; Streptophyta; Magnoliopsida; Brassicales; Brassicaceae
Exons: 2
Source: RefSeq, a predicted model, not a curated record